CAAAUUCUACCGCCGGGUAGGAAUGCGAACGCAUUCGCCGCACAUCGAUAGGUCUUUGAAGAUGUGCCGCGAAUGCUUAUUUUUUG
Molecule: non-coding RNA, 86 nt
Filed under: unclassified sequences
Source: RNAcentral